RNAcentral lists this transfer RNA (69 nucleotides) under Myxococcales bacterium. Its description in RNAcentral is "tRNA-Arg". It matches the Rfam family "tRNA". From Rfam's summary of the family: Transfer RNA (tRNA) molecules are approximately 80 nucleotides in length. Their secondary structure includes four short double-helical elements and three loops (D, anti-codon, and T loops). Further hydrogen bonds mediate the characteristic L-shaped molecular structure. tRNAs have two regions of fundamental functional importance: the anti-codon, which is responsible for specific mRNA codon recognition, and the 3' end, to which the tRNAs corresponding amino acid is attached (by aminoacyl-tRNA synthetases). tRNAs cope with the degeneracy of the genetic code in two manners: having more than one tRNA (with a specific anti-codon) for a particular amino acid; and 'wobble' base-pairing, i.e. permitting non-standard base-pairing at the 3rd anti-codon position. Lineage: Bacteria; Pseudomonadati; Myxococcota; Myxococcia; Myxococcales. The record is from RNAcentral.
ACCCUAGUUCACAGGAAGGGCACCGGUCUUCUAAACCGGUGGAUGCAGGUUCGAAUCCUGCCGGGGGUG